CGAACUUCGGGUUCUGUCCUCCGGAGACUGGGGGACAGGCCCUGGCCUUCCGGAUGACUGCAUUUCAGAGGAAUGGCUCUGAGGGCCUUGAGAAGGGCACUUCAAAGUUAGAAGAGAUGCGUAUUCACAACUGUAAGCCAUUUCUAGUAAAUGCUCCGAGAAAGAGAGGUGGAGAUGAAGACCUAAUAGGAUGCGUUAACCUAAUGCUACAUAAAGAAUUACCCCAAAACUCAGUGUCUUAAAACAGUGAACAUUAUCUUCUCACAGCUUUUGUGGGCCAGGACUUGGAAGCGGCUGAGCUGGGUGCCUGGCUCACGGCCUCUUGAGGCGACGGUCGGGGUAUUGGCCAGGGUCGCAGUCACACAGUCAUCUGAAGGCUUCACCGGCCUGGCGGUCCUCUUCCACGGGGGCUCGCUCGCGUGCCUCACGAGUUGGUGUUGGCUGCUGGCAGGGGGCCCCCGUCCUCUCCCAAUGAGCCUUUCCACCAGCCACUUGAAUGUCCUCUUGACAUGGAGGCUGGCUUCCCCUGAGAGAGAGAUCAAGAGAGACCAAGACUGAAGCCAAAACAUUUUUCAUGACCCAGCCUCAAAAGUCACUCUCCAUCAUUUCUGCAACGUCCUGUUGGUUACACAGGUCAACUCUAUUCAACAUGGAUGGGAACUACAAAAAGGCUUGAAUACCCAAAGGCCAGACUCACUGAGGGCCAUCUCGGAGGUCGGCUGCCGCUUGAGAGAAUGUCAGAUCCCGACAGGUUCUUCAUCAUCCGGUCCAGCUUGCCCUGAGGUGCCCGCCCGUGUCAUCUCAGCUCUGCUGAGCCCUCCGUCCUCGGGCCCCUCAUCCGGCGCCGAGGCGUACAGUGUCUCCUGUGCCUUAACGCCAAGAGGGACGGCCGUUUGUAAGUCCUUUCAUAGCCUCCGCUACACCAAAGGCAGGGCUGAAAGCACACAUGGGGCCCAGAAGUUCUCGUCGAAUAACAAAAUAGUGACUUUUGUCUCUUCAGAUGUCACGUGAGAGUUUCAGGAUUCCAUACUUUCCCAGGAGUUUUCCUUGUUAUCUUACAAAUGUUUUCACCGUUAUCAAAAUUCCUUCAGUUGUUUGUAACUUUAAAGUCCCAUCAGGACCUGCGUUCCAAGACUUUAAACUACUGAAGCCUAACGUUGUAUUUAAUGAGGAGCAAAACCAAGUUAAUUCCCAUUCACAGAUGACAAGUGAACAGUUGGCAGCAAUUUCAACAUCUGCUUUUAAUUCAUUUAAGUGUGAUCAAAUGGUGAUUAAAAAAAGUGCUGGAAACUCUAAUAUUUCUCCAUUAUCCUUCGAGUAGUUGUCUCUGCUAACUGAAGUUGACUCUUGAUGGUUGUGUAGAUGGACCCAAAGUAAACACUGGGACAGAGAGUGCUCCGUUUUUGUGCCUUCAUGUGGGAGCCUGUUUCACCCUUUCUUCAUUCCAAGUUCAUUCCCAAAUGUUCCAGACAAAAGGCUCUUGUUAGGGUUGAGUCACUGCUGGUUUGAAACGGGGAUAGUAACCAACAUGUUAGUUGGAACUAGCCUUAGAUUUAAAAACUUCUUGCCUUUGUGAGUUCACGCACACGCGCACACACAAUCUGUAAACAAUAUCCUCAGACGAUGGCUGUGCUGUUCUUUAUUUAUAAUCUGUCUCCAUUUGCCUCAUACACCUUACUCACCCUUCCUUUUAGGCGUACUUCUUGCCAAAUAAAGUAAUUAGCAAGGAAUCAGGUAGGUAAUUGGAUGGAAUUACAUGAUACUUGCUUUUAAUACUAUGUGUAAGAAAUAUAGGUAAUUGUUAUAGUUUCUAUGAAUAUAUUAUUUACAGGCUGGUUUGUCGAAUACCCAUACUAAGUUGUACAGAUUGUUAUUGUCAUGUCUACAUUUUUUAAAAAAGAUUCUACAAUUCUGUACUUUUAUUUAAUUAAUUAAUUUAUUUAUUUUUUGGUGAGGAAGAUUGUCCCUGGGCUAACAUCUGUGUCAAUCUUCCUCUAUUUUUUAUGUGGGAUGCCACCACAGCAUGGCUUGAUAAGUGGUGUGUAGGUCCAUGCCCGGGAUCUGAGCCUGCGAACCCCGGGCUGCUGAGGCAGACCAUGCAAACUUAAUCACUAUACCACUGGGCUGGCCCCCAUUUCUACAAUUCAAAUUCAUGUAAGAAGAAUACAAAAUUAAAUAAAAAGAAUUCUUAGGGUAUAAUGAAUAUGAAAAUGACCACAGAUACAAAAGCACUAAAAAAUUUUAGAUAAAGGAUUUCUUCUCUAUAA
Molecule: long non-coding RNA, 2267 nt
Organism: Equus asinus (donkey)
Lineage: Eukaryota; Metazoa; Chordata; Mammalia; Perissodactyla; Equidae
Source: Ensembl